This 469-nucleotide ribosomal RNA is filed under the name uncultured bacterium. RNAcentral describes it as "bacterial SSU rRNA". It matches the Rfam family "Bacterial small subunit ribosomal RNA", at positions 335 to 800 of the family's 1533-position model. The record is from RNAcentral.
ACUCCUACGGGAGGCAGCAGUGGGGAAUAUUGCACAAUGGGGGCAACCCUGAUCCAGCCAUGCCGCGUGCAGGAAGACUGCCCUAUGGGUUGUAAACUGCUUUUGUACAGGAAGAAACAUUCCCUCGUGAGGGAGCUUGACGGUACUGUAAGAAUAAGGAUCGGCUAACUCCGUGCCAGCAGCCGCGGUAAUACGGAGGAUCCAAGCGUUAUCCGGAAUCAUUGGGUUUAAAGGGUCCGUAGGUGGACGAUUAAGUCAGGGGUGAAAGUCUGCAGCUCAACUGUAGAAUUGCCUUUGAUACUGGUUGUCUUGAAUUAUUGUGAAGUGGUUAGAAUAUGUAGUGUAGCGGUGAAAUGCAUAGAUAUUACAUAGAAUACCAAUUGCGAAGGCAGAUCACUAACAAUAUAUUGACACUGAUGGACGAAAGCGUGGGGAGCGAACAGGAUUAGAUACCCUGGUAGGAUAGCGU